UGCCAGCAGCCGCGGUAAUACGGAGGGUGCAAGCGUUGUUCGGAAUCACUGGGCGUAAAGAGCGCGUAGGCUGUCAUAUAAGCUAAGGGUGAAAUCCCUGAGCUCAACUUUGGAAUUGUUCUUAGAACUGUAUGACUAGAGGAUGUUAGAGGCAGAUGGAAUUCCUGGUGUAGAGGUGAAAUUCGUAGAUAUCAGGAGGAAGAUCGGUGGCGAAGGCGGUCUGCUGGAGCAUGCCUGACGCUGAGGCGCGAAAGCAUGGGUAGCAAACAGGAUUAGAUA
RNAcentral lists this ribosomal RNA (279 nucleotides) under uncultured bacterium. RNAcentral describes it as "partial 16S ribosomal RNA". It matches the Rfam family "Bacterial small subunit ribosomal RNA", at positions 506 to 784 of the family's 1533-position model. The record is from RNAcentral.